AUUUAGAUAAAAAGUGUAGUCACCAAUUCAGCAUAGGAUACAAAUAACAGAAGGUUGUCCCAUAUUUGUAUCCUAUGCUGAAUUGGUGACUACACUUUUUAUCUAAAUA
Pelobates cultripes (western spadefoot toad) is the source of this 109-nucleotide non-coding RNA. The record is from the annotation of a GenBank genome assembly. Lineage: Eukaryota; Metazoa; Chordata; Amphibia; Anura; Pelobatidae.